GUAUGAUUAGGGAAACAUUUCAAGGAAUCAAACAACUCUCAAAAUAACCCCAACACUGGUCAGAUUAAAAAUUUGAACUUGCAGACAUUACAAGAAAAGAUGUCUUAUUUAUCUUGACCAAAAUAUGAAUAUUACCAUGGAUGUAGAGUUGUGGACUAAAAAGAGCCAAAGUAUUCUAUUAACAUUAAACAGUGCAGUUGUAUUCUUCUGAUGACAUGACUAUUAAUGGAUUUGUGAAGAUUGAUGUUUUCAUAUAUUUUGGAUUGAAUCUUCUGAACUAGUGAAACAAAAGAAAAUUGUUUUCUGAUAGGACUGAAGAAUGGACGCAUUCAAUCAGACUUGGAGUUAUGUUACUGCUUCACAGGUGCACAAAACACAACAGAUUCAUGCAAGAUGGUCAUAUCAUUGACGCUGUUACAGAGCAAACCAGUUAUGCACGAAAGAAAUUC
Molecule: long non-coding RNA, 449 nt
Organism: Mytilus trossulus (common blue mussel)
Lineage: Eukaryota; Metazoa; Mollusca; Bivalvia; Mytilida; Mytilidae
Exons: 3
Source: RefSeq, a predicted model, not a curated record